UUAAUGCCAAUUUUAAAAUGACGUAUUGCACUGUUGCCAUCGUCACCGGCACUCCAUUGUAGGACGACUGAAUCAGGGCGUAUGUCGGACACUUUCGGAGCAGUUGUUGCAAAAGGAGGAGCUGAAAGGAAAAACUCGCGUGAUAUGGAAGCACAAAACGUCACCACUUAAUUACUCAUUUGUCUAGGCAUUGAGAAAAUGGGCACUUAUCUAAAGAUGGAUCAUAAGAUUUUCCACUGAAGUUCGAUAGUGGUCGAGUAAUCGCCGACAGACGAUGAUGAAUCGCAACGAUAGACACCAUUAUCCCUUUGGAACACACCACGUAUAGUGAGCCGACCUUCGCUAUCAAUGCUGCGUCUUGAGUCAUCUCUAAGUAUCUGUUGACCUCUAAAAUACCAAUGAUACGUGACGUUGACUUUCUUAUCAUAACGAACACCACAGUAGAGAUAUGGAUGGUUGCCUAAGGACGCAAACACCGUGACGGACUUAUUUACGACAACGGUCGGAGCUGGAGAGAGAAAGAAAUGUGGUCACAUAUCUGUUUCCUUUUUCAUGAGAUGCAUGUGUGCGUGCAUGUGAUAUCUUACCCUACGUUUCCUGUAGGUUUGCAAACGGCGCAAAAUGUAAUGGAACUGGAUUGCGUUUAUACUGCACCGGAGAGGAAUUGUUUGAAAACUUCACUUUUUAUGGAGCGAUACGACCACACUUUCUAAACGUGGUCGAACAAAAACGGAGCGCUACGCAGUGUUGUGUAAACAACCAGCAGUUAAUAUUUUGCUGUUUUUUAGAUACCAGUUCUCUUCAAUUCGUCACGCGUUGUGGUGCAUAAUUGAAAAUGGUGAACAUUGUAUGUUUUGGAAAGCUUUCAAUGACAAAUUCCGUUGUAAUUUUACAAAUCAACGUCUUUUAUGACUUAUGACUACAGUUAUAAAAAUCUAGCAAUGUGAAGACGAAAAAUGACGUCAUUUUAUCACAAAAAACUAACGAAUUUUGACACUUGAUGGCAAGAGACAUUAUGUGAAAACAUGGCAAAACUGUAGAGGAAUUCAACGGGUAAACGCAUGCAGUCAAAUUUUACGGUCACUUCUUCGCUUCGAAGUAGGGUAAACGUAGUCGUAGCUCAUGUGCUGGCGUGAAUACAUUUGAACCAGAACACACACAACUUUUUCCUUGGAUAGUUUAAAAAAUCUUUAAAGUGACACAGGUUUCACAUGCUUCUUAAUGCUUGUAAUCUUCCUAAAGUUUCGUAAUCUUGACUAUUCUUAUGAAUUAGUUCUGGUUGUUUUCAUCUGCAAGAUAUUAAACUGAAAAAUUCUUGUUUUUCCUAA
Xenia sp. Carnegie-2017 is the source of this 1328-nucleotide long non-coding RNA. RefSeq lists it as uncharacterized. Lineage: Eukaryota; Metazoa; Cnidaria; Anthozoa; Malacalcyonacea; Xeniidae. The transcript is spliced from 2 exons. The record is from RefSeq and is a predicted model, not a curated record.